CACCUGGUAGGCCAGAGUCAUUCAAAGGGGAUGGACAAGGAGGAAGCUGUCUGGAGAAUUGAGGUGCUGUGUUAAAGACUGACAGACUCCCAUAUUAGGAGACCCUGAGCAAGUGUCCAGAGAGGAGAUUCCAGGAACCUGUUCGUAGAGCAGAGAUUACAUCCACCAGCAUGGUAAGACAGCAGUGGGGGAGGAGUCCGCUGACACCCACCUUACACCUCACUCAAACCUGCAAUCAAUGUGAAGUGGCUGCUUCAAGGGCAAGCACAAGUCAUGCUUUCAUCUGCAUUGCACUUACCACAUGUUUGAAGAGAAGAAUUACCACAAUGAAACUCAAUUAAAAUGGCCUGUAAAAUAGAA
Pseudophryne corroboree (corroboree frog) is the source of this 360-nucleotide long non-coding RNA. RefSeq lists it as uncharacterized. Lineage: Eukaryota; Metazoa; Chordata; Amphibia; Anura; Myobatrachidae. The record is from RefSeq and is a predicted model, not a curated record. The transcript is spliced from 3 exons.